Molecule: long non-coding RNA, 235 nt
Filed under: Gossypium raimondii (Peruvian cotton)
Lineage: Eukaryota; Viridiplantae; Streptophyta; Magnoliopsida; Malvales; Malvaceae
Description: long non-coding RNA (GRAI_LNC006255)
Source: RNAcentral
AAUCAUGCUAGCGAAACAACACCGUUUUGGGGAGGCGGAUUAUUUCCGAUUUGGCCCUCCAUGUAAUUCGCGUGUCGCGAUUUCGCCCAUUAUUUUACUUAAAUUUCAUUUAUUUCUUGUUAUUUUAGUUUUUUUUAACUAUUUGUUUUUUUGCAAUUCGUUUUUUUAAUUUUAUUUUCUCAUCUUCCUCAUCAUCAUUAUUAUUAUUAUUUAAUUAUUAUUUUUAUGUGCAUAC